RNA transcript from Haplochromis burtoni (Burton's mouthbrooder), 4262 nucleotides. RefSeq lists it as uncharacterized. The transcript has 7 exons. The record is from RefSeq and is a predicted model, not a curated record. NCBI's taxonomy places the organism in Eukaryota, Metazoa, Chordata, Actinopteri, Cichliformes, Cichlidae.
CAUCAUGGGAAUCCCUCAGCCACAUACACCUGUUGCACUACACUACAAAUGCAAGCAUGUCAGUUUUAUUCAUUUUAUGCAAAUCUUCGUACAAAUUUUAAAGGUAAUGCAGGCAAAACUUUGUAAGUAUAUGAGUGAUUGGAUGAAGCGGUUUGAUGACGUAACACGCUAUUUUAGUUUAAAAUACUUAUAAUGUUAUGAUAAAUGGUAGUUUUGUUGUUACUUUUACAAUAUUAUCCAUCCUUCAGUUUCAGCGAACAUGACAGUUAGCAGUGUAAUAACUCCUCUGUGAUAAAGAAAAACUAGCUUGUUUUCUUUUUGUGUGGGAGCUCGCACAGUGUUUCAACUUUACAGCCUUUUAAUAUGAAAGUCCUGUCAGUACACUUCCUUUUUACAUCAUUUCACACUUGCCCCGUGAAGGGCAACAGUCUGACGUCUGCUCAGCCAGGAAAGCUUCAGCUUGUUUCUUUCCGCACAUCUUCCUCUUCACUGUCGGUGGCUCACAGACAUGUUAACAAGCAUGGACGUAUCAAAGCUUUGCUUGAUUUUGCUGUUACCACUAGCUGUGUCCCAUGAUGCUGAAGAGACUGUUGUGAAGACAGUCAGGAGAGAACACGAUGUCACUCGGAUUUGCAACAAGGAAAGUCAGACUACUAUUGUUUUGAUUAUCUGUAAGAUCAAAAGACAGAGGGACACAGGAGGAGAGUGUCAUCUGCUGUAUCGACACGGAGAGAACGUUACUCAGGAAUGUGACCCCAGGUUCUCAAUAACAAAAGAAAAUCAGACUGCCUUUCUCGAGCUGACCAGUUUAACACCAGCUGAUAGUGGGAACUUCACCUGUGAGUGUACAAACACUGAAGGGACAUAUAUUGUCCAUAUCAGUGUCACUGUGGAAGGUAAAUGCAUUUUGGUUUCUUUAUCUGACACAGUUAUUCAGCACUGUGUUAGCAUUGUAUUGACCUGCUUAUGUGUUUUUUAUUCUUGUAAUUUGUUCAUUUCUUUUCUUCUUAUUUUCACUUACAGCAGUUUAAAUACUCUCACUGACUCAUUUAUCAGGUACAUCUUUGAACCCAGUUGGACCACCUUCAGCCCUCAAACAUGUCUUCAUGUUUUGUGGCACAACAAGGCGCUAAAAACAUUCCUCAAAGAUUCUCAAGACAUAUUGAAAUUACAUCAUCACACAGUUGCUGCAGAUUCGUCAGCUGCUCUUACUUGAAGCAAACUUUCUGUUCCACCACAUCCCAAAGGUGCUCUGCUGGAUUGAGAUCUGGUGACUGCGCAGGCCGUACAUGAUUUGAGCGCCGUGACAUGGUGUGGUAUCCUGCUGGAAGCAGCCAUCAGACGAUGGGUAUUUUUUGGGCAUAAAGACAUGAAUGUGGUCAGCAACAACCUUCAGGCAGGCUGUGGUGUUUAAAUGAUGCUCAGUGGUUACUACAGGGUCCAAAGUUUGCAAAGAAAAUCCCCCACAGAGCAUUACACCACCAGCAGUCUGAACUGUUAGAAAUCAACUCAUCGGGCAAGGCAUCGUUUUUUUAGUCUUCUGUUGUCCAGACUUGCAAACUGUAGCCUCAGCUUGCUGUUGUUAGAGGACAGCAGUGAUAUCCAGUGUGGUCCGCUCUGCCUCAAGGUUUGAUGUGUAAACAGCAUUUUUACCCAGAGAAUCACAGCUCACUGGAUAUUUUCUAUUUUUCAGACCAUUGUCUGUGAACAGAGAUGAUUGUGUGGGAAAAUCCCAGCAGAUCAGCAGUUUGUGAAGCACUCGGACCAGUAACAUGUGCCAUGUUGCUCUGUUUGAGCAUUGAUUUGCUGACAUUUUAUUAUUUUAUUAACCUUUAUUUAACCAGGAAGAUGAAGCUGACAUGUGAUUGACAAAUGAAAUGAACACUGAAAUAUUUGUGUUACACCCUGAACAGGUAUACCUCAUAAAGUGGCCAGUGAAUGUAUAUAAGCAGUUGGACCAAUUUCAGUUCAUAGUAAUAUUCAGAAAAGACUGCAAAAGAAGAAGAAGACAAAAGAAAAGAGCACAGUGACAAUAUUUAAAGCUCUGUGGUUAUAAAACUGGGGUUUCAUUACUUCACUCAGAGUUUCAGUAGACGUAAACUGUGUUUGAUUUGUGUUUUGAUUUCCAGGAAAUGAAAGUAAAUGAUUUUACUGACAAAUGCAUCUUUUCAAUGAUUUAGACACAAACGAGGCCCACACUUCAGCAGACAAAUCUUUUCCCGUUUAUCUGCCCGGUGUUGUGAUCAUCUUUAUAACUGGAGUUAUCGUGGGAUUUAUCUACUGGAGGAAAAGUAAUGGUGUUACACUAAUGCUGACAUCCUUUCUUAUCAACGUGGCUGCUUAAGGUCAGGAACAUCUGGAGUGUCUGUACCUGAAAAUCCCAACGGUUUGGAUGACGAUGAGCCAGAUCAGCCCUAUACAAACCUUCAGCAGCCAUCGAGUGAUUCCUACCAGACUAUCAUCUCAGUGAACCAUCAACACGACAACAAGACACGCUCAGCAAGAAGCGCAGGAACUGUGGGAGUGGAUAAUAAAGCUCUAUGAAACAUUUUAAAGUAUAUAACACUUUAGGUGACAUACUAAUAUAAUAAUAUUCAUAUAUUAUAAUAAACGUCCAUCUUUUCACACUGGAUAUUUGUUUCCCAGUAAUGGAGACCAUUCAGUCAUAAUACUCCAACUCAGGCUCUCAGAUUUAAUACAAUACAAACACAAUAAACUGUGGCAAACAUGACUCUUUGUAUCAGACUAGUUUUGUUUUUGAACAAACAUCUCAUCAUAAUUUGAACACAAUGUCCAUCCAGAUAAACAGAGAGAUCAGUCUGGCUUAAACAAUGUUGGUGGUUUACCUUCUACUGUCCUUCCACUUUUAUGCACUUCUAUUUUAGACAUAGUAAAAGUUUCAGUGUAGACACAAGAGGUGAAAUAAGGAGGGUGCAAGUCUUCCUGCUUUCACUAUAGUCACACUGUCAGCCACAGUUACUUCCUCACCAGCAUGACUGCACGGAAACUCUGCUUUCUCCUGCUUCUGCUUGUGGUUUUUAGCAGUGAAGAGACUCUUGUGAAGACAAUUGGAAAGAAACCCGAUUCCACUCAAAUAUGCAGCAAAACAACUCUGAAUAUUACUGUGAUGAUACUGUGUGAGAUCAGCACAGAGAGGAGCCGAGGAGAACAGCGUCGUCUGCUCUAUCGUUACGACCGAGGCUUUAUUCAUGGCUGUGACUCCAGGUUCACACUGAUCAAAGAAAAUGAGACUGUGUUUCUCCACCUGCUCAACUUAACAUCUGAAGACAGUGGGAACUACACCUGUGAGUGUGGAUUUCGUGGUGGAUUGUAUGUUCUCCAUCUCAGUGUGACUGUGAGAGGUAAAAACAUUUUCUAUUUAUACCCACACCGCAGAUUCAAGGUGGAUGUUUGGAACUGCGUUAACACUUUCUUUUCUGUCAUACAUGGUUUGAGGUCGUCAUUCCCGCCUGCAGCGGAUUAAUGAAAGGUUUCAGUCAGGAGAUGAACAUCUGGAAUGUUUUUAAGCUCUUCUUCUGGCUAAUUUUUUAAAUUUCAUUAUAAAACUGUGCUCCAAUCACAACUUUGGUGUUAUUUCAUCAGUGAAAUGUUUGAAUGAUGCAAUUGUAACUCUAAUGUAAUGAAAAGAUAAACAUGUUUUCCACUUUAAUAUAACAGGUUAAUGCAAAUUUUGUGACUUUUCAUGUUUUCAAAAUGAAGUUUUUUUGUGUGUGUGGCAACAUUCAACAGACGAUGGAGAUUCUUCUGGCAUGAAGUUCAUGGCUACAGUUCCCAUCAUUUCUGCUGCUGCUUCACUCAUCAGUGUGGCUGUGAUAACCUGUGGUUACAGCCUGAGGAGAAAUCCUCGCAGAGAAAACAGAUCAGGUCUAACUAACUUAACAGGAUCUGAAACUCGCCAGAUGUUUGACAAAGAGGACCGCUACAUGAGCCUUCAUCGGCAAAACAUCGAUGUCUACCAAACUAUCUCCUCCGGUCGCCUUCAUCAUGAUGCUGAGGCCACUGCAUGUCACAGUCAUGUACAAUAAUAAUCAGAGAUGGAGUUUUUAUCCUGACUACGUGAUCUAUAAAACUAUGAUGCUAGACAUGCUAUCUAUAAAAGACACUGACAUUGUAACUUGCCAGCAUCAUGUGUACUGUUAGUUUGUUUUGCACUGAAAAAAGAGAAAAAUAUUAACGUCCAGUAAAACUUGUAAUGAUGUUGUGAAUGAAUUGCCUUAAUUCAUGGCUUUUAACACCAUUUU